GUUGUCCGGAAUUAUUGGGCGUAAAGGGCUCGUAGGCGGUCUGUCGCGUCGGGAGUGAAAACUCAGGGCUUAACCCUGAGCCUGCUUCCGAUACGGGCAGACUAGAGGUAUGCAGGGGAGAACGGAAUUCCUGGUGUAGCGGUGGAAUGCGCAGAUAUCAGGAGGAACACCGGUGGCGAAGGCGGCUCUCUGGGUCUGUCCUGACGCUCAGGCGCGAAAGCUAGGGGAGCAAACAGG
This 237-nucleotide ribosomal RNA is filed under the name uncultured bacterium. Its description in RNAcentral is "partial 16S ribosomal RNA". It matches the Rfam family "Bacterial small subunit ribosomal RNA", at positions 540 to 776 of the family's 1533-position model. The record is from RNAcentral.